Molecule: transfer RNA, 71 nt
Filed under: Synechococcus elongatus PCC 7942 = FACHB-805
Lineage: Bacteria; Bacillati; Cyanobacteriota; Cyanophyceae; Synechococcales; Synechococcaceae
Also listed under: 7 other names
Description: tRNA-Cys (GCA) (tRNA-Cys-GCA-2-1)
Rfam family: tRNA
About the family: Transfer RNA (tRNA) molecules are approximately 80 nucleotides in length. Their secondary structure includes four short double-helical elements and three loops (D, anti-codon, and T loops). Further hydrogen bonds mediate the characteristic L-shaped molecular structure. tRNAs have two regions of fundamental functional importance: the anti-codon, which is responsible for specific mRNA codon recognition, and the 3' end, to which the tRNAs corresponding amino acid is attached (by aminoacyl-tRNA synthetases). tRNAs cope with the degeneracy of the genetic code in two manners: having more than one tRNA (with a specific anti-codon) for a particular amino acid; and 'wobble' base-pairing, i.e. permitting non-standard base-pairing at the 3rd anti-codon position.
Source: Rfam by way of RNAcentral
GGCAGCAUAACCAAGUGGUAAGGCAGAGGUCUGCAAAACCUUCGCCUCCGGUUCGAAUCCGAGUGCCGCCU